This 465-nucleotide ribosomal RNA is filed under the name uncultured bacterium. Its description in RNAcentral is "partial 16S ribosomal RNA". It matches the Rfam family "Bacterial small subunit ribosomal RNA", at positions 28 to 507 of the family's 1533-position model. The record is from RNAcentral.
GACGAACGCUGGCGGCGUGCUUAACACAUGCAAGUCGAACGGAAAGGCCCUGCUUGCAGGGUACUCGAGUGGCGAACGGGUGAGUAACACGUGGGAGAUCUGCCCUGCACUUCGGGAUAAGCCUGGGAAACUGGGUCUAAUACAGGAUAGGAGCCAUCCUUCGUGUGAUGGUUGGAAAGUUUUUUCGGUGUAGGAUGAGCUCGCGGCCUAUCAGCUUGUUGGUGGGGUAAUGGCCUACCAAGGCGGCGACGGGUAGCCGGCCUGAGAGGGUGGACGGCCACAAUUGGGCUGAGAUACGGCCCAGACUCCUACGGGAGGCAGCAGUGGGGAAUAUUGCACAAUGGGCGCAAGCCUGAUGCAGCGACGCCGCGUGGGGGAUGACGGCCUUCGGGUUGUAAACUCCUUUCGCUAGGGACGAAGCUUUUUGUGACGGUACCUAGAUAAGAAGCACCGGCUAACUACGUG